AGUUCGUGUCCGCGUAACAAACCAUUAAGAGCACCGGGGCUGAAAAGUCUUUAGAUUUGGGAAACCUUACACACUUGUUUCCCCCCCUCCCUGUUUGCUGAAUGCUGUUGACUAAAUCCAUCAAACUAGUCAUGCUAAUUAGCGUCCAGGGCAGCUUCGCCGGCGGAGCAGAUCCCGGGGCGGGCGGCCCCGCGGCCGGGACUUUCCUUCCGGACCGGCCGCCGCCCCGCAAGGGGCAGGAGGGAAUCCAUCCACUUCAAACAAGCAAAAGCCACCAGCACUGCAAACCAAACCCGCUGCCCAGGGAGGUUGUGGAGUCUCCUUCUCUGCAGACAUUCAAAACUCACCUGGACACCUCCCUGUGUAACCUCAUCUGGGUGUUCCUGCUCCAGCAGGGGGAUUGGACUGGAUGAUCUUUCUAAGUCUCUUCCAAUCCCUGACAUCCUGUAAUCCUGCAGUCUCAGAGCUGCACAAGCCUGACCAAAGGAAGAAUUCUUAUAACACGGCUGCUACAGGUGGUACAAAACCCAGCGCUGGGCUGGUAUUCACAACACAUAGUCUGUACAGCAUGGGCAAGCCUUCAGCCAGGACCUCGGACACUGAGAACAUGCUCCUCCACAAAAUGUAGUUUCCAUUGCAGUUGAUCAAAUUUUGAGAUUCAGUGACACAAAAGUACAGAACCUCACACAACUGUUUUUUUUUUUUUCUCUUUUGGAGUGGGCAGAUGCUUUAAGAAGCUGUAAAUUAUACAGCUAGCCUAGCGGAAUAGAUAAUGGCAAGCAUGAGUUUCGGAGGACUGGCAAAGCAAUAACAGAAGUAUGUUGGCAAUCCCAAACAAGGACCAAAUUCCCUACUAAUGUGACUGUACCGAGUUCAGAUUUUGGUGGGUGUGAAUGAAAUUUAUAAUUGACUAUAACUCUACAUAAACUCUAGACAGAUACAGAAUGUAGAUUUCUGUGCUUGUUUCAGGUUUUAUUGCAUUUUCAAAAUUUUCACACAGUCUGUAAACUAUCAUUGUCUUAUUUCGUAUUUAGAAAAAAACGCACCAAGCAGCAACAAGAACGUAUCAGGCAGUUGCGAGGUCCCAAACAUUGAGAUUGACUCCUUCCUCAUACAAGCCUCGAUUAAAUCUUAUUUUCUAAGGGAAAAAUAAUUUUAUUACUUCUGUAUAGAAAACUCAUGUUUCCCAGUAUCUUAUGUUUUCCUGCCUAACUACCAUCAGGAGGAUUGCCUUUUUCCUCCCUCUGCAAUUAAAUGCUCUUGCUAGUGUAACAGUGUAAGUUUCUCUUUUAAGCUGCCUGUCUUUUCAGCGGAAGUGGUUUAGAGUAGACAAAUCACUUAUCUAAAAAUUAUGUACUUACUUCUCCUUUGACAAAUCUUCAGCAGGUUUCUAAUCCCAUCCUGCCACUUGAAAUAUCACUUUCUGUGAUGACAUUUGAGUCACAGUUGUCAGAAGCAUCAGGCUCUGUAGUUAAAUGGAUUAAAUCACACUUCAUAGCAUGUAGUAUUUUGAAGGAGGAGUGGUUUAUCAUUUGUAGAAAUUAAUCAUAACAGUUUUUUCUCUAGGGCAAAUUCCCAAUCAUUUUUACAGAUUACAAUGUUUAAGCCCCACUGACAGCAGUAUGUCAAAUUACAUCACAGGGAAGGUUAUCUCAGGCAGUGAUCACUAUUAGCAAGACUCGCUGAGGCAUCUACCCCUGGGAGAAGCGGGUCCGUACUGGGAAGCACCUUUUAAAUGAGGGGUGGGGAGCAGCUCUUUGGCCGUGCUUGGGGGCUGGGGCAUCGCUCAGUCCUACGGGGGGGGAAAGAGGAGAUGCUUGUUUGGGCCACCUCUAGCUGAUUAAGGAGUUGAAAGAUUUUCAAAGUCCCAUUUACCUUGAAACAGGAGGCAGCGUUUGUCCGUUUAACAUCUGCUGCCAAUGCCAAGCAAUAUUACUGAUCAGAAUCCUCCCAAAUCUCAAUCCUGUCAGUCACCACCUGGCACAGAAAUUAAAUCACCACCAGCACAUCCAUAUGGUACUGCUCAUUGCUCUCCAUGCCAAGAUGCUUCUCUCUCAAGCAGUGUAUUUUUCAAAAGUCACCAGUCCAUCCUUAGGACAUGAUGGCGCAACAGACUUCCAUGCCCAUGGAACACUGAUUUUUAUGGUGAUAAUGAUGUAGACAGAUUUGUAUGUUCAGGUGCCUUCGAUUGCUCAACAUAAAUGGCACAAUGCUUAUCUUCAACUAGGUUCAAGGGAGGUAACCUUUGGGUGUGAUUCUUGUUUCUCUCCCUCCCUGCUCCUCUUUUGUGGUGUUACAAAAAUGAACCAAAUACAUUGACACCUGUAAUAAAGACACAGGCCACCAAGAGGAAAAGGAGGAAAGGCUGCAGAGAGGUGGAGAUCAAAUCCCCCAUUUGGACGCUUCAGUGUCAAGUAGACUGUACAAGAGGGGGACAUCAUCAUGUUCUACUGUAAUUUCAUUAUGAGAGGUGCACAGAGCAGAGAGGUUGUUUAGAGAAAGAAAACAUAACGGGUAAGGAAAUUCUCUUCAAGUAGCUGUAAUACCAGUUACUGCCCAUUGAGUCAUAACCCUUUAGCAAUGCAAAUUUUCUGUGACCAAAGAUUUAAAGGUGUAUCUUGGGGACCAAUCUUUAUUCACCAGAGUUUUGCUGCACUGCUGAACACAGCAGGGUAUUUCCUUACAACAUUUGUCUAGAGCAGGUUAUUUGCCCAAGAAUUACUUCCCUGGAUAUGUAUAUAUUUUACUAUUGAUUCAAAGGAUUCAAAAAACCCUUUAGAAGGCUUACAAUUACCUAGCAGAGAUACACAAAAUACAUGGAUCGGUGGCCUUGUGGAUUUUUCCUAAUGUUUCACAGUAGGUUGAGUCAGCUGAAACUGUUAUAAAUCACAGGGCUGUCUCCCAGUCAGAAACCAACCAUGUACUUGGGAAAAAAAAUCCUUUGACUCUGCAUCAAGUGUCUUCCAUGCAUAACUCAUUUUCUGAGAAUCAAACCAACUCCAUCCAGAGAGAGGUGUGAGAGGAAAAUCCAGUGUAAAAAAGCACAGUAAAAAAGACUCUUCUAUGUGGUUUAGUUUUGUGUCGUUUAAGUCAAAGAUUACUACACAGCAGAGAUCACUAUGACUAAAGUACUUACCCUUGGGUCCUGUUUUUUGUCAAGGUUUAUAAAACAAAGGUAGGAAAGUUACAAAAUGUAAUACCACAGCAUUUCCUUUUCUCCUGCUGCCCAUGACCCCUGAUCACACAUGCCCUUGGUAGCUCAAUGUUUUGACAGACCCUCUGAUCUCGACUACACACCUGGGAACAUCCAAUGCUCUUUUGGAUGCGCACAACAAUUGGGUCAAAACCUUCUGAAAGAGACUUACACCCUAUUUAUCUUUGAAGACCACAGAAAUGCUCGUGUUCCUGCUACCUGAUUAUGAAAAAUUGUUCCUUCAAACCUAUGUAGAGGCUCAGGACAGACUUGUAGGCACUGAAAUGAAAAACACCUCUGUCAAUUGCCAUAGCCUUAAAUCAGUCUAGUUAGAUGCAAUGUGGCAAUUUUCUAAUCUCUACUUCCUCUCCUCUUCUCUCCCUUUCCUUUUUCAUUUCCUUUCUCCUUUCCCUUUACCACGUAAAGGAAAACAAACAAACCAACAUCUAUAAAAUUACAACAAAAUAUGCCCCCCUCCAUAAUUACACAGUGAAGCCACAUUCAUCAUGUCCAUACCUCUGGUUUUAUUCGCAGCUAUUCUUUUACAGAAAACUGAGAAGCAAAAAUAACCAAACCAUGCAGAAAUAAAGAAUGAAGUACACUAAGGAAAAAUCACAUCUGUAAUAUGGGAUGACAGUCAGAAUAGAGGCUUUACAGAACAACAACAAAAAAAAACAAACAAAAAACAAAACAAAACAAACAAUCACUGUACAAUGAGGGCACCAGUUCAGAGUUGCCUCCAGCACUGUUCCACCUGUAGAAGAGCUGUCCCCUCCCACCCCAACUUGUCCAUCAGGCAAUUCUAGAGACAGAUGGAACACACCCCACCUGUGAUGCUCUGCCCUUCUUUUACCUUAUCUAUUUUGCUACAAAUACUAAUGAAUGUUUUUAAAACUGCUUUUCAUGACAUGGGAGCUGUAUUGAUUUUCCAAAGUUUAGACAGGUCUUAACUAUUAAACACUUCCAUUCAAACUCCUUGGUAAACUUGAGUGUGGCACAAAUGUCUUCAGUGCUCAUCUGCACUUCUAGAGCCUCUUUUGGCACCUGGGCUAGAGUUCAGGAUAUCUCUUCUAGCAAAUCAGAAAUAGAAAUUACCUGAAGCUCUUUCCAUACUGAAUCCAUUUUUUCAGCAUGAUCAAAUGGAUUUCUAAAACAUCCAUAUUUUUUGCUAACUCCUGAUUAAAUUUUUUUAUGCCAUGUCUUGCAAACUGCCCAAUUUUCCUCAUAUAGUGGAGAUAUUUUAAGCCUGUUAAUGCAUUGGGAGAAUAUCUGAUCAACUGUUUCUUGAGAUUUCAAACUAAUCUUUUAGAAUUCAUAUGUUCUGCAAAGGACUGAAAACCCUGUUAUAUAUGAAGCAAGACUUUCAAAUGCAAUGAGGAUUACUAUCUCUAAGAAAGUUUUACUGUGCACUUUAAUAAAACAUGUUUUUCUGCUGCUUUUUGAAAUGCUCAAGAUUAUAUCCUCAGUCAAAAUAUUUGUUUUUAUAAUACUUUGUAGCUGAGGCCUCACCU
Molecule: long non-coding RNA, 4704 nt
Organism: Columba livia (rock pigeon)
Lineage: Eukaryota; Metazoa; Chordata; Aves; Columbiformes; Columbidae
Exons: 3
Source: RefSeq, a predicted model, not a curated record